RNAcentral lists this transfer RNA (71 nucleotides) under Stegodyphus mimosarum. It matches the Rfam family "tRNA". Rfam says of the family: Transfer RNA (tRNA) molecules are approximately 80 nucleotides in length. Their secondary structure includes four short double-helical elements and three loops (D, anti-codon, and T loops). Further hydrogen bonds mediate the characteristic L-shaped molecular structure. tRNAs have two regions of fundamental functional importance: the anti-codon, which is responsible for specific mRNA codon recognition, and the 3' end, to which the tRNAs corresponding amino acid is attached (by aminoacyl-tRNA synthetases). tRNAs cope with the degeneracy of the genetic code in two manners: having more than one tRNA (with a specific anti-codon) for a particular amino acid; and 'wobble' base-pairing, i.e. permitting non-standard base-pairing at the 3rd anti-codon position. Lineage: Eukaryota; Metazoa; Arthropoda; Arachnida; Araneae; Eresidae. The record is from Rfam by way of RNAcentral.
GCCUUCGUAGUGUAACGGUUAGCACAUUCGGCGCGUAUCGAGAGUUCCAGGUUCGAGUCCCGGAGAAGGCA